RNAcentral lists this ribosomal RNA (628 nucleotides) under Otidea sp. B KH-2014. RNAcentral describes it as "eukaryotic LSU rRNA". The stretch from base 252 to 405 matches the Rfam family "5.8S ribosomal RNA". Lineage: Eukaryota; Fungi; Ascomycota; Pezizomycetes; Pezizales; Pyronemataceae. The record is from RNAcentral.
GUAACAAGGUUUCCGUAGGUGAACCUGCGGAAGGAUCAUUAAAUUCCAUCUAUUACAAUUUUAACACCAUCUGCGUACUAUUCCUGUUGCUUCCGUAGGGUGGAGCGCAUGCUUGAAAGCUCUAGCCAGUUGGUUGGGGUUUUUGGCAGCGGUUUCAGCUAGCCAGUUGGCUGGUUCCUGCGGAAGGAUAUUUUCAAAUCAUUUGCAUUUAUUUUGCCUUCUGUCUGAAUCAUGUUUAUAACAAUUGUUAAAACUUUCAACAACGGAUCUCUUGGUUCUCGCAUCGAUGAAGAACGCAGCGAAAUGCGAUAAGUAGUGUGAAUUGCAGAAUUCAGUGAAUCAUCGAAUCUUUGAACGCACAUUGCGCCUCCUGGUAUUCCGGGAGGCAUGCCUGUUCGAGCGUCAUAAAUAGCGAUUCAAGCAAGUUCUCUUGCUUGGUAUUGGAGGUCGAGCGUUGCCCAUGCGCUUGUUCGGCUUUGAAAUUCAGAGGCGGGCUGCUCCGUGUUCCAUCUGGCGUUAUAGGAUUAUUCUUUCGCUUGGACUCGUGAGAUAGUUUUGUUGACAAUCCCCCAUUUAUUAAUCGUUGACCUCGGAUCAGGUAGGGAUACCCGCUGAACUUAAGCAUAUC